This 671-nucleotide ribosomal RNA is filed under the name Enterococcus faecalis. RNAcentral describes it as "bacterial SSU rRNA". It matches the Rfam family "Bacterial small subunit ribosomal RNA", at positions 38 to 677 of the family's 1533-position model. The record is from RNAcentral. Lineage: Bacteria; Bacillati; Bacillota; Bacilli; Lactobacillales; Enterococcaceae.
GUCAUUACAUCAGACUAUACAUGCAAGUCGAACGCUUCUUUCCUCCCGAGUGCUUGCACUCAAUUGGAAAGAGGAGUGGCGGACGGGUGAGUAACACGUGGGUAACCUACCCAUCAGAGGGGGAUAACACUUGGAAACAGGUGCUAAUACCGCAUAACAGUUUAUGCCGCAUGGCAUAAGAGUGAAAGGCGCUUUCGGGUGUCGCUGAUGGAUGGACCCGCGGUGCAUUAGCUAGUUGGUGAGGUAACGGCUCACCAAGGCCACGAUGCAUAGCCGACCUGAGAGGGUGAUCGGCCACACUGGGACUGAGACACGGCCCAGACUCCUACGGGAGGCAGCAGUAGGGAAUCUUCGGCAAUGGACGAAAGUCUGACCGAGCAACGCCGCGUGAGUGAAGAAGGUUUUCGGAUCGUAAAACUCUGUUGUUAGAGAAGAACAAGGACGUUAGUAACUGAACGUCCCCUGACGGUAUCUAACCAGAAAGCCACGGCUAACUACGUGCCAGCAGCCGCGGUAAUACGUAGGUGGCAAGCGUUGUCCGGAUUUAUUGGGCGUAAAGCGAGCGCAGGCGGUUUCUUAAGUCUGAUGUGAAAGCCCCCGGCUCAACCGGGGAGGGUCAUUGGAAACUGGGAGACUUGAGUGCAGAAGAGGAGAGUGGAAUUCCAUGUGUA